This 449-nucleotide ribosomal RNA is filed under the name uncultured bacterium. RNAcentral describes it as "bacterial SSU rRNA". It matches the Rfam family "Bacterial small subunit ribosomal RNA", at positions 329 to 793 of the family's 1533-position model. The record is from RNAcentral.
GUCCAGACUCCUACGGGAGGCAGCAGUGGGGAAUAUUGGGCAAUGGGCGCAAGCCUGACCCAGCAACGCCGCGUGAAGGAAGAAGGCUUUCGGGUUGUAAACUUCUUUUCUCAGGGACGAAGCAAGUGACGGUACCUGAGGAAUAAGCCACGGCUAACUACGUGCCAGCAGCCGCGGUAAUACGGAGGAUGCGAGCGUUAUCCGGAUUUAUUGGGUUUAAAGGGUGCGUAGGCGGAUCGUUAAGUCAGUGGUCAAUUGGGGGGCCCCACCCCCUCCCCGCCAUUGAAACUGGCGCUCUUGAGUGGAAGAGAAGUAUGCGGAAUGCGUGGUGUAGCGGUGAAAUGCAUAGAUAUCACGCAGAACCCCGAUUGCGAAGGCAGCAUGCCGGCUUCCGACUGACGCUGAAGCACGAAAGCGUGGGGAUCGAACAGGAUUAGAUACCCUGGUAA